Molecule: ribosomal RNA, 237 nt
Filed under: Glomeromycotina sp.
Lineage: Eukaryota; Fungi; Glomeromycota
Description: partial small subunit ribosomal RNA
Rfam family: Eukaryotic small subunit ribosomal RNA (bases 40-237)
Source: RNAcentral
GGGUCAGUAGGUUGGUCGUGCCACCGGUACGUACUGGUCUCACUGAUUCCUCCUUCCUGAAGAACCGUAAUGCCAUUAAUUUGGUGUUGCGGGGAAACAGGACUGUUACUUUGAAAAAAUUAGAGUGUUUAAAGCAAGCUAACGCUUGAAUACAUUAGCAUGGAAUAAUGAAAUAGGACGAUCGAUCCUAUUUUGUUGGUUUCUAGGAUUGACGUAAUGAUUAAUAGGGAUAUUGGA